GGCCUUUCCAUGACCAGACCCUCGAACGCCACCCUCCUCCCGGUGAGACUCCAGUGGGCAGGCAGUUCCUUCAACGGCCAGGCGCUGGUGGAUUCAGGAGCGGAGGGUAACUUGAUGGACUUUUCUUUGGCUCACAAACUUCACCUCCCGAUCACAGCGCUGGAACACCCUAUCACUAUCCACGCUCUUAAUGGACAGGAACUCCCGGGUAUUACUCACAUCACUGGACUCAUCACACUCAUUACCUCGGGUAACCACACGGAGAGGACUUCACUCUACCUCACCCGGUCACCUCACGCCCCCAUUGUCCUGGGUCAUCCGUGGUUGGCUAAACACGGACCCAGGAUAGAGUGGGGUCAGAACUCUGUGUCCAGCUGGAGUAAUUCAUGUUAUGCCUCAUGUCUUUCGUCUGCUGUUCCGUCUGUUUCUUGUUCUGUGUUGCAGGAGGAGUCAGUGAAUCUGUCCAACGUGCCACCGGAGUAUCUCGACCUGAAGGAAGUGUUCAAUGGUUGUGGAGGUUCCCGGGUCGGCACUGGCCGUCUUUUCCCCUUGCUCCAGUUCCGGUGUCCGGUUGGAUGUCUGCCUGGUUAGGAGGAUCGUGUUCUGGUUUCCUGCUAGCUGUCUGCCCCUGAGUCCUGCGUUGCCGAGCCAAGUAUUGACUUUGUCUGCUGCCUUUGGACCGACACUAUCUCUGUUCUUGGAUGUUAAUAAACAUUACUGGCACUUGCUAUUGGAUCCUUGACUGUUCUUUCGAGCCAUGACAAAUACUAAAUACAAAAUGCCCAAUCCUAAAUACAAAAUGCCCAAUCCUAAAUACCAAAUUAAUUUUCGACUUGGACUUUAAGUUUCAAAUUUAGAUUUUUAGUUUUGGUUUAAGACUUUUAGUUUUAGACUUUUAGUUUAUAAUCUGACCAAAUAAUUCCUCCAUACAUACCGCUACCAUGUAGUGCAGAGUUUUAGCCCUGUUUGGAAACGUUGUGGUUAUUUGACCACAGCGGGUACGCCAAUAAGUCAUCAAACCAUGAUUAAAGAAAUUCUUGACACGUGUGAGAAAAUUCCACCAAACAGUGUCACAGUAUGUAAAGUCACAGGUCACAGUACUUUCAAUGAUUGGUUGGCGAAAGGAAACUCUCUAGCUGAUAAGGCUGCGAGAGAAGCUGCAAAGGGUGUGGCACUUGAGGAAGUAGCCGUUAUUUUCCCUGUUCAUCCUGACUGCACGGGUUCCGAAACUUUAUCUAAAUUGUACACUGAGGAUCAUGAAAUGUGUCAGAAAUUAGGAGCUACCUUAACUGAAGAAGGGGUUUAUGCCCUGAAUGACAGUCAUUCCGCCUAGCGGAUAUCAAACUGAACUAAUUGAGUUGUACCACAGCAUUGCACACCAAGGGGUUCAGAAAACACAUGCUAUGUUACAACAAACAUGGUUUUGGCCAGAGAUGUUACAAACUGUGAAGGAUGGACUGUCCAGAUGUAUCCACUGUUUGCAAACGCAGCCAUAAUUUGGAAAAGGUAAAAUCCCAAUUGGUCACAGUCCUCGCCCGCGAGGACCAUUCACACAUUUACAAUUGGAUUUUAUUUCGUUACCUUCUGAUCAUGGGUACAAAUAUGUACUAGUUUUUGUUUGUAAAUUUUCCAGAUGCUCUGAAAGGGUGUAUUGAAUUUUCAUCCCUCUCAUUGCUCCAUGGUUCGGAAAUGAUAGAUUUUCAUAAAAUAGGGGUAUCUUUACUGGGAUUUAGGUUAUAAGCAAUGUCUGUAUUUGGUAUCUGUGAGGUGACUGAGGGUCCGACCUAUGUCAGGAAUGCAAUAACAGUGAUUAUUCAUUUAGCCCGGCUUCCAGAGAAUAAUACAUAUAUAUGUUUAUGGCAAUUAAUUUAUUUUACGAUAUAACAAAUUAAUCAAAAUUCAUCAUAGUUGUAUAAGACAUAUAAAAAGAAAAAUACAAAUAAGUCAAAUUUCUUUCUAAAAAGGUCUUUGGGUUUUAACUGUACCUUCCCCUAAAGCUCCGUUGUUGCGCUCAGGUCCUUCGGGUCCAUUGAAGGACACUUUGCAGGAGUAUCUUAAAGUACUCACGUGCGCAUUGAAGAAUGCCCAUUUCAGUGCCCUCAGUGCUCAAAAUGCUGGAGAUCUUAAAAACGCUAUAUUCAAUGUAAAGGUUAAAAAUCACGUACAAGUGGGGGACGAAGUCAUGACACAGAAAAUAGGGAACUUAGGACCAAUGUCCUCCAGGUAUGAGGGUCCUUAUUCGGUGUUGUUGACUACUCCAACAUCUCUUCUUGUUGAAAUCGAGCCAGGGCUGACUCGAUGGAUGCAUCUUGCACAAGUGAAGCCUCUGUCGCCACUUGCCGAUACUAACUCUCUUUCUAAUGUGAUUUAGUCCAACAGGUACAGUAUUUUAUAUCCAAGGAAUGGCUGCUAAGGAAGAACAAUGACUAAUUGUUUCCUCUCUUUAGGUUCUCAACUAUGAUUCCAUCUGGACCUGUUGUGUUUAAAAAAAAAUAAAAAAGAAGGAACUGAAAACCAUGGUGUUCAUGUUUAUGUGUACUGGUAUUGUCCUGUUUAGUUUGACUAUGUUUUGUUAUGUGUGUGUUUUUGUUGUGUUUUUAUCCAGAUAUUUCUGCUCCUACUAUUCUAUAUCUCUAAUAGGUACGAGUGCAUGCUGUCACAGAAAUAUUCUGUGUAUAUUUACCACACACGACUGGUUCUAAGGGUGACUCUUUGAUGUGACUUCUGCAACAGUGCAGCUCAUUGACAUUCUGGGAGUGGUUGCUGUGCUCGUGGCUGGACAUCAGUGUUUCAUCAUAACAUCACUCGUUUACUAAUUCUACAUCACCUGAGAGACCUGGGCUAUAGUCUACCAGCUGAUAUAUAUAUACAUUUGUAAAUUCCUACAUUAAGAUGAUUAAGAUGCCUUACAAGAUUGUUGAUCAAAGAGAUUCUUAUUCUCCCAUUUAUACCAGUAGUGAUGAGGAAAUCUAUAUCUUGCAGGUGAAGGGUAAGGAAAGGUAUGAGAUGUUGAAAACGAUCAACGAAAGUUUGGAAGUUAACGACAUGGUACCCCCUUAUGAUAAGGACAAAUAUCUUCAACUAAUACCUCCCAAGGGCAAGAAGAGAAAGAACGAUGAGAGUUUAGAGUUGGAAAAGAUGGAAGGCUGUGGUAAGUCCUCAACCCAGCAAAAGUCCAGGGGACGCCAGGGGUCGAAUUUCCUUAGGAGUUCUCGUCUGGCCAUCUUGGUGAAGAUCUUUGUUAAUUUUAAGGUAGCUGGGGUUAGAGAGGUAUCUACAGUACUAUCUAUCUGAAAUUGUUUUAUUGAUUUUCUAUAUUUUCAUGUAUGCAUCAUGUAUUUUUCUUUUGAAUUACUCUGUAUUUUUGGUUUUGAUUUAAGGGAAAGGUUGUGGCGAGUCUUUUGAUAAGACUCGAGUGGGGGAUUGGUGUGUGGAGAUUCUAAGAAAUCCACAUGGUGAUAGAGAUUCUGAGAAGAAGUCCACGUAUUUAAAUUAAACCCAAGAUGUAUCUUACUCUGAAGUUACGCAUUCAAAAUGUGUUCUAUUCAUAAUAAGUUUCAUUUCAAAAGUUAAAAAUUAAUAUUUCAUGGUAAGGAUCUGUCUCAUAUAUAUAUUAACAGGUUUCAUUUUUAUAUUCAAAAAUGUUUUUGGUAAACUUUAUGGUAUAUUUCAUAUGUAAUUUCACAGUAUUUCUAACUUCGUAGUCAGCUGAGUCUGUUUUGCAUAUGAAGUUGAACUGCACGUAUUGUUCUUUUGUAUCAAUAUUUCUUAGAAUUAUCAGUAUGAUACUUUGAAUCUAAAAGAGGAAGAAGUCUAAAAUCGAGACAUUGACUAGACUAUUUUUAAAGGUCAGGUGUUAUUAGUGAUAGCCCAGAUGACUGGAACAACAGUAUAUAAGAUAGACUCUGCAAAAUAGAGUGGGUUUUUGACUUUCUGAGACUCUGGUCUCUCUAUCUUUUCAGCUCACUUCCUCUUCUUUGGCUUCACUCGACAACUCUUAGACUCAGACUUAGAACUCUUACAGGUUUUUAUUCAAAUUCAGAUACCUUGAAAUUCAGAUACUUUGAUACUCUGAUACUUUGAUAUUUUAAUAUUUUAAUACUUAAUAUUUUGGUACUUUUGAUUUAAAACAAAUAACUGUUUAUGUUUUACUUACAAUUUUAUUAAUGUUUUGAUUAAUACGGGCUCAAUCCAUCAUAAAUGGAUUGUUAUUAAAAAUUUACUAAAAUUGGAUUUAUAUUUUCUAUAUUUGAAGGUUGUUAUUAUUAUCCAGAACUUUAUUUCCAAGUUAUGAUUUGUGGUUUCUGUUCUCUAUAUUCUUUUUAAUAAAUUUACAUAUUAUUACACCUUGACCGUCUGAAUUGGAUUAAAUUUUGCAUCAACAAUAAUAUUGUUAAAUAGUAUUACAAUUUAAAAUAAUUUUUUUAGUUAUUAUUAUUAUUUAUUUAUUUAUUUAUUUAUUUUUUCAUUUUAAAAUGUAAUUUAUUGACAGGAUUAUUUCAGCAAAGAAAUGUCACUUUUUUCAGGAUGGUGUAUUUCAAAGAUUUUGUAAAAUCCAAGUAAGUGAUUUUUGCUUGGUUUUAAUAAAUAGAAUGAUAAUUACAUUGUUAAUGUAAAAAUACAAAAUAUA
Cyprinus carpio carpio is the source of this 4630-nucleotide long non-coding RNA. Lineage: Eukaryota; Metazoa; Chordata; Actinopteri; Cypriniformes; Cyprinidae. The record is from Ensembl.